AUGUCUGAAAUAAAACUUUGGAAUUCUGAACCUUUACUCUAUUUCAGCAGCAGGUCUGGAAGUUCAGACACACAACAAGGAAACAAACUACUGGAAGGAAAUACAGUCUCGUCACUAAAAUCUUUAUCAUCAGCAGGAUGGAUUAGCACCAGCUGCUGUGAGGUUUCAGUUACAAGAACCAGGCUUCCCUGAGAUGCUAUGAGCUCCACUGUCCAGAGAGGAGACAUUUUGUGUCUUUUGAGUUUGGGGCAUGGCUCUAGGAAGAGAUUAUUCAUUUGUUCAUCUGCAUGACCUACAAUGGAGGCAACGAGAACAUACUGAUAUCCUCAUGCAUUAAUAUUUGUUACUUUAUUUUUGAAUAAAAACAAAAGGUACUGGACCACACUAUUCCCUCUACACAAGGAAAUCAUAAUUUGAGCUACAUGAAUGGCAUCAAGAAAAAUGCUUAAACACCCUGAAAGUAUAUGCAAAACAUAAGCAUGUGUACUUACUGUGUGUGUGUGUGUGUGUGUGUGUGUGCGCAUGUACAUAGGCAUUUUUUUUCCUAGUAGGAGAAUUGACAGAUAUCAAUCAGCAGGGAGUCAAAGAGAUUUUUGAUGCCCAAAGUUUGAAGAAAUCCACCCAUAAAGUCAAAAUGGUAGAGAGCUAUUGUAAGUCAUGGAACAAACUCUGUAACAUAACCUGAGCCCAAAGGCAGAUCUUCUCUAAUCCAGUCCCUGCUUUACUGUUAACUUGAAUUGAAAUGAUGGAAGAUACAAACUGUUUCCUAGGUCCCUUUUCUCUUCUGAUACUAUUUGGACACAGUCUGUAAGUGCUUAUAAAGCUGUAUUAUUUGAGAUAGUUCUGGAACUUUUGAAAACAGUUUAGGACUGCCUGUUACCUCCUUCUUACAUCUCUCAGAAUCUUGGUCAAAUAGAAAAGAACAAAGCCCCAAAGCACAGAGAAGUAUGUUAUGAGGGAGCAUGAAAAUGUUAAAUUAACCACCAAACUUUUGACAUUCCUUUGUUUUUUUUUUCCAUAUAACUAAAUCCUGGGAUUAUGUAUAGGAGAGAAAUUCAAAACUGAGAAUCUGGUGAGGGUAUGCAUCCUGCGUGUCUGGCUACAACACAUUUCUACACUGCUGAGACCAGUACCUGGCAAAUAGUGAGACCUCAAUAGAUAGUUUUUUAAUUUAAAUGAAUGUAAUUGCUUGGAAAUGAAUGGAAAUGAAUUAGCCUGUUAAGAGUUUCAGGUAAGCUGUUAUUUAAAGUUAGAUAUGAAGCUAUCUUAAGUCACAUGGCCAUUUCUCUUCAACAUUCAUAUGCCAAUAAUCUUUUUAUAAAUUAAAAGGAGUCAACAAUUCCUUCCAAAUACCUAUUUAUUUUAUUUAGCAAUGCCUGAGAAAUGGAAAAGGAGUUUAAUCUUUCACAGGGUAAAUGGUUGAGCUUAACAAAUUUGUCUUUUCUUUUUUUUCUUCCUAGAAUAAUAGCAUCUUGGAACCUUGCUAACGUGACUUGAUAUUGAAUUCAGGUCCAUCUUGGGCUUAAUCCAGGGGAAUUCAGGGACUGCAGUUCCAGAAUGGCCACCUAAUAAAACUUUCAAUAUAUAAUUCAACAGAGAUCACUUACAUAGAGGGUUUCUACGCUUUUACAUUUCAUAAACCUGUAGGAAUUUCCAUCAAAAAAAUAAUGGGAGUUAGUUCUUAUAGGACUGGCAAGCUCUCAAUUUUUUUUUCCAAGAAAAAAUAUCAAAACGCAUUUCUCACCUACUAUCACCGUCAUCUGUUAAAAAAACACUCUCUUAACACCAAAAUAUAGAGAAUGAUCAUAAUCUCAGAAAACGGGACAGCUCACUAAAUGCAAUAAACUUGGCUUCAUGAAAAAUUCACAACGUUCUUUUCAAAAGGUUUGUUUUUGUCCUUUUCUUGCUGACUGGUGAAAAAAAAUGUUAUCACAAAUGAGCACUGAUCUUUGGGCUGGCAUUUGAGAGCCACUAAUAGAAUUAAACCCCCUUUGCCAGAGAUUUCUUUGCUUCCAACUCCAUACCCUCUCUCCACCAUCUCCCCGCCCCCCUACUCUUUUCCAGGGAGCUGGUCUCUCUGGACUUGUCCUCAAGACUCUCCUGCCCUCUGGCUUCUCAUUGGGUUCAGCCCCAAGGAAGA
RNAcentral lists this long non-coding RNA (2140 nucleotides) under Sus scrofa (pig). RNAcentral describes it as "lncRNA (ENSSSCG00040067854.1)". Lineage: Eukaryota; Metazoa; Chordata; Mammalia; Artiodactyla; Suidae. The record is from RNAcentral.